Molecule: ribosomal RNA, 392 nt
Filed under: uncultured eukaryote
Lineage: Eukaryota
Description: partial 18S ribosomal RNA
Rfam family: Eukaryotic small subunit ribosomal RNA
Source: RNAcentral
CAAUAGCGUAUACUAAAGUUGUUGCGAUUAAAAAGCUCGUAGUUGGAUCUCAGGCAUGGGCGCACGGUCCGCCUCGCGGCGGUCACUGUGUGUUUUGUUUCCCAUCCUACGCUUCCCGGUUCUCAGCCCAUGGUGCUCUUCACUGAGCGUUUUGGGUGGCCGGAACGUUUACUUUGAAGAAAUUAGAGUGUUCAAAGCAGGCACGUCGCCUGAAUAAUGGUGCAUGGAAUAAUGGAAUAGGACCUCGGUUCUAUUUUGCUGGUUUUCGGAACACGAGGUAAUGAUUAAGAGGGACAGACGGGGGCAUCCGUAUUGCGGUGUUAGAGGUGAAAUUCUUGGAUCAUCGCAAGACGAACAACUGCGAAAGCAUUUGCCAAGCAUGUUUUCAUUAG